Molecule: ribosomal RNA, 433 nt
Filed under: uncultured bacterium
Lineage: Bacteria
Description: partial 16S ribosomal RNA
Rfam family: Bacterial small subunit ribosomal RNA
Source: RNAcentral
AACGAACGCUGGCGGCAUGCCUAACACAUGCAAGUCGAACGAGACCUUCGGGUCUAGUGGCGCACGGGUGCGUAACGCGUGGGAACCUGCCCUUAUUUUCGGCAUCACUCCCCGACAGGGGUGCUAAUACCAUAUACUGUCUUCGGACCAAAGAUUUAUCGCCAUGGGAUGGGCCCGCGUUGGAUUAGCUAGUUGGUAGGGUAAAAGCCUACCAAGGCGACGAUCAAUAGCUGGUCUGAGAGGAUGAUCAGCCACACUGGGACUGAGACACGGCCCAGACUCCUACGGGAAGCAGCAGUGGGGAAUAUUGGACAAUGGGCGAAAGCCUGAUCCAGCCAUGCCGCGUGAGUGAUGAAGGCCUUAGGGUUGUAAAGCUCUUUUACCCGGGAAGAUAAUGACAGUACCGGGAGAAUAAGCUCCGGCUAACUCCGUG